GGAAAAAACAACCAUUACACAUAAAAAAGAGUAAAUUGCCAUUACUAAUAAAAGAGAGAAUAUGACCGUUACACUAGCAAGAGGAGAAAACGGUCACUACUCAUAAAACAAGAGAAAACGGCCAUAACACACAAAACAAAAGAAUACAACCAUUACACAUAAAACAAGAGAAUUUAAUCAUUGCACAUGCAACAGAUGAAAACGGCCAUUACACAUAAACAAAAGGAAACGGCCAUCAACCGUAUAAAAGA
Molecule: long non-coding RNA, 251 nt
Filed under: Mytilus galloprovincialis (Mediterranean mussel)
Lineage: Eukaryota; Metazoa; Mollusca; Bivalvia; Mytilida; Mytilidae
Source: RNAcentral